AUUGAACGCUGGCGGCAGGCCUAACACAUGCAAGUCGAACGAGUGGCGGACGGGUGAGUAAUGUCUGGGAAACUGCCUGAUGGAGGGGGCUAACUACUGGAAACGGUAGCUAAUACCGCAUACAAUAAGAUGUGCCCAGAGGGGAUUAGCUUUUUGGUGGGGUAACGGGUCACAAAGGCGACGAUCCCUAGCUGGUCGUAGAGGAUGACCAGCCACACUGGAACUUAGACACGGUCCAGACUCCUACGGGAGGCAGCAGUGGGGAAUAUUGCACAAUGGACGAAAGCUUGAUGCAGCCAUGCCGGGUGUAUGAAGAAGGCCUUCGGGUUGUAAAGUACUUUCAGCGGAGAGGCGUUACCCGCAGAAGAAGCACCGGCUAACUCCGUGCCAGCAGCCGCGGUAAUUC
RNAcentral lists this ribosomal RNA (406 nucleotides) under uncultured bacterium. Its description in RNAcentral is "partial 16S ribosomal RNA". It matches the Rfam family "Bacterial small subunit ribosomal RNA", at positions 30 to 526 of the family's 1533-position model. The record is from RNAcentral.